RNAcentral lists this small RNA (2032 nucleotides) under Pongo abelii (Sumatran orangutan). RNAcentral's name for it is "retained intron". The record is from RNAcentral. Lineage: Eukaryota; Metazoa; Chordata; Mammalia; Primates; Hominidae.
GUCUUAAUAAGAAGAGAAGGCUUCAAUGGAACCUUUUGUGGUCCUGGUGCUCUGUCUCUCUUUUAUGCUUCUCUUUUCACUCUGGAGACAGAGCUCUGGGAGAAGGAAGUUGCCUCCUGGCCCCACUCCUUUUCCUAUUAUUGGAAAUAUGCUACAGAUAGAUAUUAAGGAUAUCUGCAAAUCUUUCAGCAAUGUAAGUAUGCCUUAUGUUCUUCCAGCCAAUUGCAAAGGUUUUCAAAAGUCUAUGGUCCUGUGUUCACCGUGUAUUUUGGCAUGAAUCCCAUGGUGGUGUUACAUGGAUAUGAGGCAGUGAAGGAAGCCCUGAUUGAUAAUGGAGAGGAGUUUUCUGGAAGAGGCAGUUCCCCAAUAUCUCAAAGAAUUACUAAAGGACUUGGUAGGUGCACAUAUUCCUGUGUCAGCUUUGGUAAUUGGGGUGAGGGGGAUGGAAAACAGAGCCCUAAAAAGCUUCUCAGCAGAGCUUAGCCUAUCUACAUGGCUGCUGAGUGUUGCAGAGCUUUCUUCCUUGGCUGUGAAUUCUCCCAGUUUCUGCCCCUUUUUUUGUUAGGAAUCAUUUCCAGCAAUGGAAACAGAUGGAAGGAGAUCCGGCGUUUCUCCCUCACAACCUUGCGGAAUUUUGGGAUGGGGAAGAGGAGCAUUGAGGACCGUGUUCAAGAGGAAGCUCGCUGCCUUGUGGAGGAGUUGAGAAAAACCAAGGCCUCACCCUGUGAUCCCACUUUCAUCCUGGGCUGUGCUCCCUGCAAUGUGAUCUGCUCCGUUGUUUUCCAGAAACGAUUUGAUUAUAAAGAUCAGAAUUUUCUCACCCUGAUGAAAAGAUUUAAUGAAAACUUCAGGAUUCUGAACUCCCCAUGGAUCCAGGUCUGCAAUAAUUUCCCUCUACUCAUUGAUUGUUUCCCAGGAACUCACAACAAAUUGCUUAAAAAUGUUGCUCUUACAAGAAGUUACAUUAGGGAGAAAGUAAAAGAACACCAAACAUCACUGGAUGUUACCAAUCCUCGGGACUUUAUUGAUUGCUUCCUGAUCAAAAUGGAGCAGGAAAAGGACAACCAAAAGUCAGAAUUCAAUAUUGAAAACUUGGUUGGCACAGUAGCUGAUCUAUUUGUUGCUGGAACAGAGACAACAAGCACUACUCUGAGAUAUGGACUCCUGCUCCUGCUGAAGCACCCAGAGGUCACAGCUAAAGUCCAGGAAGAGAUUGAUCACGUAAUUGGCAGACACAGGAGCCCCUGCAUGCAGGAUAGGAGCCACAUGCCUUACACUGAUGCUGUAGUGCAUGAGAUCCAGAGAUACAUUGACCUUGUCCCCACCGGUGUGCCCCAUGCAGUGACCACUGAUAUUCAGUUCAGAAACUACCUCAUCCCCAAGGGCACAACCAUAAUGACAUUACUGACUUCCGUGCUACACGAUGACAAAGAAUUUCCUAAUCCAAAGAUCUUUGACCCUGGCCACUUUCUAGAUAAGAAUGGCAACUUUAAGAAAAGUGACUACUUCAUGCCUUUCUCAGCAGGAAAACGAAUUUGUGCGGGAGAAGGACUUGCCCGCAUGGAGCUAUUUUUAUUUCUAACCACAAUUUUACAGAACUUUAACCUGAAAUCUGUUGAUGAUUUAAAGAACCUCAAUACUACUGCAGUUACCAAAGGGAUUGUUUCUCUGCCACCCUCGUACCAGAUCUGCUUCAUUCCUGUCUGAAGAAUGUGAGCCCAUCUGGCUGCCGAUCUGCUAUCACCUGCAACUCUUUUUUAUCAAGGACAUUCCCACUAUUAUGUCUUCUCUGACCUCUCAUCAAAUCUUCCCAUUCACUCAAUAUCCCGUGAGCAUCCAACCUCCAUUAAGGAGAGUUGUUCAGGUCACUGCACAAAUAUAUCUGCAAUUAUUCAUACUCUGUAACACUUGUAUUAAUUGCCACAUAUGCUAAUACUUUUCUAAUGCUGACUUUUUAAUAUGUUAUCACUGUAAAACACAGAAAAGUGAUUAAUGAAUGAUAAUUUGGAUCCAUUUCUUUUGUGAAUGUGCU